AUGGAGUUAGGAGGCAGGAGCAGGUAAAGGGUAGAUAUGGAGGCAGGAGCAGGUUAAGGGUAGAUAUGGAGUUAAGAGGCAGGUUAUUAAGGGGUAGAUAUGGAGGCAGGAGCAGGUAAAGGGUAGAUAUGGAGUUAGGAGGCAGGAGCAGGUAAAGGGUAGAUAUGUAGUUAGAAGGCAGGUUAAGGGUAGAUAUGGAGUUAGGAGGCAGGAGCAGGUAAAGGGUAGAUAUGGAGGUAGGAGCAGGUUUAGGGUAGAUAUGGAGGCAGGAGGCAGGUUUAGGGUAGAUAUGUAGUUAGGAGGCAGGUUACGGGUAGACAUGGAGUUAGGAGGCAGGAGCAGGUAAAGGGUAGAUAUGGAGGCAGGAGCAGGUAAAGGGUAGAUAUGGAGGCAGGAGCAGGUAAAGGGUAGAUAUGGAGUUAGGAGGCAGGAGCAGGUAAAGGGUAGAUAUGUAGUUAGAAGGCAGGUUAAGGGUAGAUAUGGAGAUAGGAGGCAGGAGCUGGUAAAGGGUAGAUAUGAAGGCAGGAGCAGGUAAAGGGUAGAUAUGGAGGCAGGAGCAGGUAAAGGGUAGAUAUGGAGGCAGGAGCAGG
This is a non-coding RNA of Salmo salar (Atlantic salmon), 590 nucleotides long. NCBI's taxonomy places the organism in Eukaryota, Metazoa, Chordata, Actinopteri, Salmoniformes, Salmonidae. The record is from RefSeq and is a predicted model, not a curated record.